Long non-coding RNA from Arabidopsis lyrata subsp. lyrata, 1501 nucleotides. RefSeq lists it as uncharacterized. The transcript is spliced from 3 exons. The record is from RefSeq and is a predicted model, not a curated record. NCBI's taxonomy places the organism in Eukaryota, Viridiplantae, Streptophyta, Magnoliopsida, Brassicales, Brassicaceae.
CGAUCAGUACGCGGAAUCGUCGAGAAAAAAAAAUCGAGUCCGAGAAAUCCUCGGUCCGGGCUUGGAAUCAUCGAGAAAAAUCUAUCGCUAACGAGAAAUCGUCGAUCUGCACGCGGAAUCGUCGAUCAGAACAUGCGUCAGUACGAUCAGUACGUGUAUCAGUACGUACGGAUGGCCGAGAAAAAACUUCAAUCGAUUUAGGGUUUCUCAGUUUUUUUGGGACCAGUACGGAGAAAAUUGCAGAAAAACUGGGCUGGGGCUUGGUGGAAACGAUUUGCCUCUUUUAUGCAUUUCUUCUACUGUUCGAGCUAAUUAAAUAUGGUUUUUUUUUUCUACGAUUUCAGAACCUGCAACUUUUGGAUGCAAUUCUCCUCUCCUUAUGUAAACGUUUAUUGCUUCUUCUCUUAGUUCCUAUGCCAAUUAAUUCUGGGUAACUGUAAUUGCGGAGAACAAAACUCUAAAAGAACAAAUCACGGCUUAAAUUUCGUGGUUAUUAAAUAACCUAUGAGCUUACAACGCUCUAAUGCCAUCUGAUUUCUAUAUGCUAAGCAUGCUCAAGACAGUAGUGAACAGUACUACAAAAACAGUUUGGCUCCAUUAACGUCAAUAAUAAACAUGCCAACGAAUUUUUGGUGCUCCUAAUAUUUGAGAUUUGUAUCAUUUACCAAAAACUCAAGAGGUGUAUAUCUCUAGCUCCCUCUGUACAAUAAGAUUUGUAUCAUCUACAUAAAAAUUUUUGGGGAGGAUAUAGGUCUUCAUAAUUUAGUUGAGUCAAAGCGUCAACUAGAUAGUACUAUGCGUUUUUUUGCUGGAUAGAGGAAUGAGAUAAGAGAUAGAGAUUAUAGCUUUACGGAAAUAUCUCUAUGUUUUUUUUGUCAUGAAUCCAGCUCUGAUGGCAAAAAUUUAAGCUAUUCAUGGGAGUCUGAAGUCUUUACCUUUUACGAGAAUAUGCACUUGCAUCACUUGGUCAGAUUGGAUCAAGUAUGUAUCGAGUCUUUAAUUGAAAAUGGGGUUUAAUCAAGUAAGUAAACAUUAAUAUAUCUAAUAUAUCUACACACAUUCUCACUGAGUGUUUAUAUGUAUUUGGGGUGAGUUCACGUUUCCACAGAUGUUGAGAUGCUACCACCUCACACCUCAUCUGUGAUAGUACAACCAUCAUGUCAUGUGUCCCUCCCACAUUUUUUUGUUUGGAAACAAAAUAGGCCUACUUUAAAGGGUUUAAAUCAUAAGUUUGUUUACUUGGGAUUAGACUAUUCACGUAAGUGGUUUCCAUUCCAUGUGAUUGUACCAUAAUUGGUGCAUCUGGAAAUUCUUUCCCAUAUCUAUUAUUUAUCUAUUUAUUUAUCUCACGAUUUUCAUAUAUGUAGAGACAUAAUAAGUCUCUCUUUUUUUUUCUCCCUGGAUAGAGUAAUGUAAUAUGAGAGAGAGAUUAUAGCUUUUCGGAAAUACUGUAGCUGGCUGAGAUCCACUUUAUCUUGAAUCCAGGUGUGAAGAUGAUGAU